UCUGGGACAAGCCCUGGAAACGGGGUCUAAUACCGGAUAACACCGGCUUCCGCAUGGAAGCUGGUUAAAAGCUCCGGCGGUGAAGGAUGAGCCCGCGGCCUAUCAGCUUGUUGGUGGGGUAAUGGCCCACCAAGGCGACGACGGGUAGCCGGCCUGAGAGGGCGACCGGCCACACUGGGACUGAGACACGGCCCAGACUCCUACGGGAGGCAGCAGUGGGGAAUAUUGCACAAUGGGCGAAAGCCUGAUGCAGCGACGCCGCGUGAGGGAUGACGGCCUUCGGGUUGUAAACCUCUUUCAGCAGGGAAGAAGCGAAAGUGACGGUACCUGCAGAAGAAGCGCCGGCUAACUACGUGCCAGCAGCCGCGGUAAUACGUAGGGCGCAAGCGUUGUCCGGAAUUAUUGGGCGUAAAGAGCUCGUAGGCGGCUUGUCACGUCGGGUGUGAAAGCCCGGGGCUUAACCCCGGGUCUGCAUCCGAUACGGGCAGGCUAGAGUGUGGUAGGGGAGAUCGGAAUUCCUGGUGUAGCGGUGAAAUGCGCAGAUAUCAGGAGGAACACCGGUGGCGAAGGCGGAUCUCUGGGCCAUUACUGACGCUGAGGAGCGAAAGCGUGGGGAGCGAACAGGAUUAGAUACCCUGGUAGUCCACGCCGUAAACGUUGGGAACUAGGUGUUGGCGACAUUCCACGUCGUCGGUGCCGCAGCUAACGCAUUAAGUUCCCCGCCUGG
RNAcentral lists this ribosomal RNA (727 nucleotides) under Streptomyces sp. RNAcentral describes it as "bacterial SSU rRNA". It matches the Rfam family "Bacterial small subunit ribosomal RNA", at positions 137 to 876 of the family's 1533-position model. The record is from RNAcentral. Lineage: Bacteria; Bacillati; Actinomycetota; Actinomycetes; Kitasatosporales; Streptomycetaceae.